AAUAAAUAAAUUGUUCAGUUAGUCAAAUAAAGUAUACAAUUAGUGCAGUAGUUUGAUCCCCCAAGGUAAUUAUUGAAUAUUAAAAUUCUGUCGUACAGAAUUUUGACAUAACAGGAUCCUCACCUUCCUAAAAUGUUUUGAAGUAAACAAAAAACAAAUUAAAUGAUGCCGCUUUAUCCUAUAUUCAGGGUGUCCAUGAUUAAUGGAAAUACUUCAUUCAGAUGCAAAUAGAUCCAUAAGUAUUUUGAUAUGUAUAUAACUAAGUAUGGUAAUAAUAACCUAAAAAUUAAAUAAGUGGGUACAAGGUUGGAACUAAUAUGCUAGUUUUCAGCAGUUGUGCUUUUUUUCUUUAUUUAAUAUGUUUGAAUUUUAUGGUAACAUCACUGUUUGAAUAUUUUCAAUAAGCUGGUUUGGAUAAUUGUUUCUGUCUUAGUUAAUAAAAUUGUUUGUUUAGUUUUAUACAAUAAAAUAAAGAGGUAGAUUUCUUUUAUAAUAACAGUGUUCUGCACAGAAUUGAUGCUUUGACUACACAGCUAAAAUGUUGGAUACACAUUUUAAAUAGUGUGCCCUUGGCAGUUAGCCCGGUAGUUGUACCCACAGGCUAUCUGACUAUGGCCUAUGGCUAUAAGUCGUUGCUAUGGAAAUGUGUGUACAAACAAAUUAUUAGUCAUCAAUACCUAUUACCAUAUGUAACCGCAUUCGAGAAAAUAUUUUUGGUUACUUGUUGGUGAUUAAGGAAUAUAUAAUUUCAGAAUAGUUGUAAACAAUGGUGUUGCUUGUGUUUUAUAAUUUCUGUUAGUGGUUUUAGUUGUAAACAAUAAUACUUUCUGUAUACUGAAUAUAAGAUAAGCUAUUAUAUAUUUAAGUAAUUUGCUUACUUUCUUUGAAUAAAAAAUGCGUUUCAAAUCAACAUUAUUAAAAGAUUCUGUGGAUCAAUCUGUUGUUUGUAUUGGUUGGACUGGAAACGAUGAAAUCAUAAUUGGAAGAAGCGACUCAACGUUAUCAAAAUGGAGCCAAGCCACAAAAGAAAAUAUAAAGUUGUGCGAUUUUUCUGACGAAUCGUCGUAUCCUAUAGAUUUGCAUAUGCUAUCUAGUACUCAGAGACUCACAAACAAGACAGCAGGGAUUGAGCAAAUUCUUAUAACUUCAUCAAAUGGCAAGUUGCAUUUAAUGAGCAAAAUCACUAAAAUCGAUAAAACUGUAGAUGCGCAUGAAGGUAAUGCAACGGUCGGUAAAUGGAGCCCUGAUGGUUCUACUUUAUUAACAGCUGGCGAAGACGGAUCUAUAAAAAUAUGGUCUCGCAUAGGAAUGUUGAGAACAAAAUUGGUCGUAAAUGCUGAGCCAAUAUUGUCGGCUGACUGGAAUUCUGAUUCAUCUAAAAUUGUGUAUACUCAACACGAUACGCUUUGUAUUAAAUCAUUAAAAGCGAACAUAAAAACAAUUAGAAUUAGAGCCCAUAGUGAUCUUAUACUCAAAGUUUCGUGGUGUAGAGCCAAUGAAUUGAUUGUAUCGGGAGGCGAAGAUUGUUACUAUAAGAUUUGGGAUUCAUAUGGAAAUUCUGUAUUUGUGAGUGAAAAACUCUCUCAUCCAGUAACUUCUCAUUGUUGGAAGUCUGAUGGAAAUUUACUAGUUGUUAGUUUUUACAAUACAAUUCUACUUUGUAAUCAAUACGGGACAGUCCUGUCGACAGAUUAUGUCGACUGCGGGAGCAUUUGUUCCCUUUGUUGGUCACCGGAUAGUACUCAAGUAGCUGCCGUGUGCGCUAAUGGAAGACUAAUGAUUUCUACUUUGGUCGAAAGAAGUUUUUCGAGACGGAAUUUUCAUUGUUUGAUCACGUCGCGGAAAACAAUGGCUGUGAAGGACGUAUUAAAUGAAACCAAAGAAAACCUCGAUUUCCCCGAACGUAUUGUCCACGUAGCUAUGGAGUUCAAUCAUUUAAUAGUUACCACAUGCACUCAGUGUUUUGUUUAUCAAAUGCCCAAUCUAAACACUCCGCAAAUUGUCAAUUUAAAAGACACAAAUGUGUUUAUGAUAAUUUUAACUGAAAAGUAUUUUGCUAUAUUAUCGAUAAGUCGAGUUGACAUUUACACAUUUGACUGUAAAUUGGUUUCGUCUCCUAAAUGGCCGAAUAUGCAAUGUGACUUAAUACAAAAGAAUCACGUAUCUAUAUCUGACCACAUAUUGGCUGUAAGAGAUCAACUGAAUGACAAAAUGAUACACGUAUUCGAAAUAGCUCCAUUGAAUACAUUGCCUACAAUUAAACAUGGAUUUUCAAUUACUGAUGUACAGUUGAUGACCACUAAAAUCCAAGAUAAACGUUAUUUGGCGUUUAUUGAUUCGAGCAUGAACAUAUUUAUCGUCCAUAUAGGGCAUAAAGAUUGUGCUAAAACAUACAAACUUGGUUCCAUGUUUCAUAGCAUGUGCUGGAACGGUCAAACAGAAUCGCUGGCUGCUUUGCAAUAUACAAAUCUAAUAGUGUGGUACGACCCUUUACUUUUACUGAACGACCAAAUCCUUGUGCGGAAGUCUCUAGAAAAGAGUGACUUGAGUUUUUACGGUAACAAGUUAAACAUCGAGUCAUACGAAGACAAUAUGGUGAGUCUGAUCAACACAGAUGGAGUCAAGGUGUUUGUCCAGGUGUCCCCUUAUUUAGAAGCUAUGAAGAAUUACAUCGGUGCGAGUAAAUGGAUGGAAUGCCGAACCGUUUGCCGAGACGUGAAGAAUGAAGCGAUGUGGGCACUUCUGGCCGGUUCUGCUGUGUUGGCUAAACAGCUGGACACUGCCGAAGAGUGUUUUCUUGCCAUCGGACAGAUUGAGCGAGCAACAUUUAUCCAACACAUAAAGACGAUAUCUGACAGAACAACACAGGAGUCAUCACUAGCUCUGCUAUCUGGAAAAAUAUCAGAAGCCGAAUCCAUUUUGCUGAGAAACGGAUCCACAUUUAAAGCUAUCAUGUUUAAUGUACAAAUACAUAACUGGAGUAGAGCAUUGGAAUUAGCAGUAAAACAUAAAAAAUACCUAAACACGGUUAUUUAUAAACGGAGGAAUUAUUUAGAUUUUUACAAAAAAGAAGAAACAAAUGAUAAGUUUUUAAAAUACUCUAAUAUAGAAAUUGAUAACGAAGAAGUCUUGAAAGAAAUCGAAAACGAAAAAUAAGGUUCUUUAAGUAUGAGAAUUUACUUAUUCUAUGAUGUAUGAUGUAUGCGUAUGAAUAGAAUUACAAGAAGUGCUACUGACUGAAAUUACAGCUUAUUAAAGGCUUAGUUGAGUGCUUAAUUACUAAUUAAUAAUUAGGCGUAUAAUAUAAUAUACUAUAUAGGCAAAAUAUUAAAAAGAGUAUGAAUGAUACAGCCUAUAAUAUAAUAAUUAGGUAUGUCAUUUAUUGAUGGAUGUAUCUACAACCAUCUCACCUCUACCCUGGUUUUAUAACCUCAAUCUCUCCAGGAAAAGUAUAGUAUCGUUCUCCCGUCUCCGCUUUGGCCACACCCUACUUCCUUCUCAUUCCUUCAAACUUUCAUUAAACGAUUCUUCCCUCUGUAUACUCCACAAUGACUCAAUUAUUUGUGACAUAACCCACCUUAUCUUCAACUGCCUUAGUCUAUCACAACAAUAUAACCACCUAUUUUUUCUUUUCAACACCUCCAACAUCCCUUAAAACACCAAAAAUAUCCUCUCUUGCCAGCAAAAAAAUAUCAUUGAUAAUAUAUUAUCCUUUUUUAACCACACAGACUUUUUAAUUUAAUUUCUCUUGUCUUUUUUGUUAAUAACUUAUAUCUUAUUAUUACUAUAUAUGUUUCGAUCAUACUUGUUAAUACUUAACUGUUGAAAUUAAUUGUAAAUAACAAAUGAACAAAGUUUAAGAAGAAAAAAAAAUUAAUAGAUGUACCCCCGUGUAUAGACCCUCUUUUUGGUAAUAAAUAACUGACAGUACCCUCUGAAGUCUUCAUACAAUAAUAUAUUUCGAUAAUUCAUUAAUUCCAUACACAGUUAAGGCGAAAAGAUUAUAUACAGAACCUGAUUUUAAAAAAUAGAGGCCUUGUAAACUAUUUAUAUAUUGCUUUGGAGGCCUUUUUAACUAAAGAUACAUCGGACAAAUUAAUUAUAAUUAAUAAAUGUUAUUUAUUGUGUAGCAUAAUGAUUGAUUGCCAGUCAUUAUGACAAAGAGUCCAGUUUUUCUUAUAGUGUUAAAGAAGAGCCCACUCGAGUUUUAUACUUUUAAAUUUUAUGAGUAGAAAAUAAAAGUUCACUAUUGUCUAUUACAAUUUGUUUAUGGUAUAUAAUUCAAAAAUAUUUUUUGUAAGAAAUAUUGAAAUUAAUGCUCAUAAAAUUGGAAUUUUCUUAUAUAGAUAAGGUAGGUAAGAACUCCAGAAAGAAAAGCUUUCAAAAAUAUUUAUUUUCCUCGAAGGUCUGAAUUAAGGUAUAUACUGUUAAAGUGUUACGGCCUACAUGACUCCUCGGCAGUGGGAGUUGGAACCUACCUUUACAGGCUACAACUUAUAUGUACCUAUAUUAUAGAGUAUAGCCUAUGGACCAGCGUUUCCCAAACUAACGGUCGGGAAAUUUUUUUGAUAGGUUCGACUCGCGAUUACGGAUUACGGUUAUUUUAGCCUAAAUUGAUACCUCUAUAUUGUAUAAUAAUUAUAAUGUGAAGUCCAAUUAGUAUUCAAGUAUUGUAGAAUGUACAUCGUUUUUACGUUGGAUAUUAAUAUAUUUUUAGUAAUCUUAAUAUUAUUUUAUUACGAUUAUGGAAUAUUUGUUACCUAUCUUAUCGGUAGGUAUGAUAAAAUUGAUUAAAAUAAAAAUAUUAUAUGUUUAUGGCAUACUUGAUUUUGUUUUUUCUUUAUAGAGGGGGGAGGGGUCGUAUGCCCAAUAAAGUUUAAAUUUAGAGGUCGCUAUUGCAAAAAGUUUGGGAAACACUGGUAUAGACUAUAGCUAAUGUUCCUGUAGGCAUAGUUUUUUUAAAGGUAUUGGCGUAUUGCUGAAUUCUUGACGGUUUUUUUUUUUUAUUAAUUUUAAACAUAAGACAUUCCUAGCCAAUAAAGGCUAUCCAUGUGUAUUUAGUGAUGUUUGA
This is an RNA transcript of Myzus persicae (green peach aphid), 5071 nucleotides long. It is a transcript of the gene named intraflagellar transport protein 80 homolog, with no coding region annotated. The record is from RefSeq and is a predicted model, not a curated record. Lineage: Eukaryota; Metazoa; Arthropoda; Insecta; Hemiptera; Aphididae. The transcript is spliced from 16 exons.